This 253-nucleotide ribosomal RNA is filed under the name uncultured bacterium. Its description in RNAcentral is "partial 16S ribosomal RNA". It matches the Rfam family "Bacterial small subunit ribosomal RNA", at positions 524 to 776 of the family's 1533-position model. The record is from RNAcentral.
UACAGAGGUCUCAAGCGUUGUUCGGAUUCAUUGGGCGUAAAGAGCGUGUAGGCGGCUUUACAGGUCCGUUGUGAAAACUCGAGGCUCAACCUCGAGACGCCGGUGGAAACCGUAAAGCUAGAGUCCGGAAGAGGAGAGUGGAAUUCCUGGUGUAGCGGUGAAAUGCGCAGAUAUCAGGAGGAACACCGGUGGCGAAGGCGGGUCUCUGGGCAGUAACUGACGCUGAGGAGCGAAAGCGUGGGGAGCGAACAGG